RNAcentral lists this transfer RNA (71 nucleotides) under Algyroides nigropunctatus. RNAcentral's name for it is "tRNA-Gln". It matches the Rfam family "tRNA". From Rfam's summary of the family: Transfer RNA (tRNA) molecules are approximately 80 nucleotides in length. Their secondary structure includes four short double-helical elements and three loops (D, anti-codon, and T loops). Lineage: Eukaryota; Metazoa; Chordata; Lepidosauria; Squamata; Lacertidae. The record is from RNAcentral.
UAGAAGGUAGUAUAUCGGGAGUACAGAGAGUUUUGGGGUCUCAGGUGUGGGUUCAAAUCCCAUUUUUCUAG